RNAcentral lists this ribosomal RNA (373 nucleotides) under uncultured Bacteroidota bacterium. RNAcentral describes it as "bacterial SSU rRNA". It matches the Rfam family "Bacterial small subunit ribosomal RNA", at positions 521 to 896 of the family's 1533-position model. The record is from RNAcentral. Lineage: Bacteria; Pseudomonadati; Bacteroidota.
UAAUACGGAGGAUCCAAGCGUUAUCCGGAAUCAUUGGGUUUAAAGGGUCCGUAGGUGGAUAAUUAAGUCAGAGGUGAAAGUUUGCAGCUCAACUGUAAAAUUGCCUUUGAAACUGGUUAUCUUGAGUUAUUAUGAAGUAGUUAGAAUAUGUAGUGUAGCGGUGAAAUGCAUAGAUAUUACAUAGAAUACCAAUUGCGAAGGCAGAUUACUAAUAAUCAACUGACACUGAUGGACGAAAGCGUGGGGAGCGAACAGGAUUAGAUACCCUGGUAGUCCACGCCGUAAACGAUGGUUACUAGCUGUUCGGACUUCGGUCUGAGUGGCUAAGCGAAAGUGAUAAGUAACCCACCUGGGGAGUACGUUCGCAAGGAUG